Molecule: long non-coding RNA, 810 nt
Organism: Cornus florida
Lineage: Eukaryota; Viridiplantae; Streptophyta; Magnoliopsida; Cornales; Cornaceae
Exons: 4
Source: RefSeq, a predicted model, not a curated record
AAGAACACUUUCUUGACUCUAUGUUUGAAAAGUACUUGGAAGAAGAAACGAUAUGGAUUGCAAAUCUGAGGUGGAUAUAUAUUUGGAGGAAUCCUGUGAGAAGUGUGUCCCAAGUUUUGAAAUAUUGAGUUGGUGGAAAUUGAAUUGCUCCAGGUAUAGAGUGUUAGCUCAAGUUGCUAAAGAUUUUUUUGGCUAUUCCUGUGUCUACAGUUUCCUCUGAAUCCGCUUUUAGCACUAGAGGUCGUGUUCUUGAUCAAUUCCGUAGUUCUCUAAAGCCCAAACUUGUGGAGUGCUUGAUAUGUGCACAAGAUUGGUUACGGGCUUCACCACUUCCAAUCGAAGUUGAAGAAACUAUGCAAGAAAUUGAAGAAUACGAAUCAGUCAUAACUGAGGCUUGAGGAAUUUUUGAGUUCGAGUUUGGAUCUUAAACUUUCAAGGCUCCAAUUUUUAAAGUUCCUGUUGUGAUGUGUGGGGAGAUUGGUUGCUUUCCCGGGCUUUACUGUUCAAGGACACGGGAAAGAAGUGGCGGAUGACGUUCCACCACAGGCCUAGUUUGGAUAGAAGAUUAUUUUGCUAUUUUUGUAUCUAUGUCCCAUUAUUUUUGUAAAACCUUAGUUUGUUAUAUUCAGUAUAGAGACUUAUGAACUCUUGUUAUUGUAAUUUUGCUUCAUGGACUGUAAGUUGAUGUAAUUGGAGUAAAAUUCUAGUAUGUGAGCAUGGGAUUAUGUAUAAGACAGGUAUUUCUAUGUUCUGGAUGAAUGGGAUGAUGAUGAUGAACUCUUUUAAGGAUGGUGUUGAUGUUGUAGAUUU